This 443-nucleotide unclassified non-coding RNA is filed under the name Hevea brasiliensis (rubber tree). The record is from RNAcentral. Lineage: Eukaryota; Viridiplantae; Streptophyta; Magnoliopsida; Malpighiales; Euphorbiaceae.
UUGAUUUGUCACCUUCAGGUCCUGUGCUAAGUUGUCCACACAUAAUAUCUGAGGGCUUUGAUUCCGUCUUCAAUGAAGAAUCACCAACAGUACUACUGGCAGGAGAAGAGGCAGAAGGUUCCACCCCUUCAGAUGAGGACAAUGACAAGUUAUACAAAAGAUCCACCGAAGAUAAAGCUUCCCUUUCCAAAUAAGAAGUUCCAUUCUUUGAAUUGUUGAACAUGUUAAUUUCUCUUCCUGUAUUUAUCAAAUCGGUAUUGCAUUCCGCUUCUGCUUCAUUGGUAGAGCACCGAUCCUUUGAUAAGCCAGAGAUGUUAACAACCUUCCACUGCUCAACUGUGAAUAGCUCAUUAUUAAGGGAUACUGAAUUGUAAUUCUCACACAUGCUAUGAUAUGGAACUUCAUUUGUUUCAUAUAGUGAACCAGUCAAGAGAUCUUGUUGA